This 2198-nucleotide long non-coding RNA is filed under the name Struthio camelus australis. Its description in RNAcentral is "lncRNA (ENSSCUG00000012852.1)". Lineage: Eukaryota; Metazoa; Chordata; Aves; Struthioniformes; Struthionidae. The record is from RNAcentral.
AUUGCAUUAUAUUUAGCUUAAAAUUUAAUGAACUAAAAUUCUUUAAGAUCAAGAUUCUUUGUUUUUAAAAUCCCACACACUCUUCUCCAUAUGCUUGCAAAUUAGUAAGUCAACAACAGGAUUUCUGGUUAAAAACCCUUGAAUGUGGGAAAUUGCUCGGAUUGUGCACACAAGCUGAAGGAAGACAAUGCAUGAGCUGCGUUUAUGGUGGAAAGUAAGUUUGUUUAUUUUGCAUUCAGUAAUCUAAAGCAUUACUUUCUUACCUAAAAUAAUGUCAGUUUGGUAGCUGUGUGUUUAAAAGAGAGCUGUUUUUAACUGCAGCAUUAUUUUUCCAUUUCUAAAUGCAUGCAGGUAUUGUGGAAUAUUCAUUUGUUACGACGUUACUAAAGCCCAUUUUACCAAAUCAAAGAUGAAAACAGAUUGAAAGUACCCAGAAACCUGAUCUGCAAGAGUGAGACCAACAGUUUCUGCAGUGAUCAGCAGUGCUGGCCAGGCAGCUGUGGAGUCUGCCUGCAACAAGCAGCAACAGCGAAGGAAUGCUUCUCUCCAUUGCCUUCUAUCAGGGUGCCUUUGCAUGACUCGUCAAGCAGAGGAGGAGAUCAGGCUUGGCCUGCCAACGCUGGCUGCUGUGGACACUGUUGGUCUUGUGCCUGCUCCUCUCCUUGGACCUGCUGUGUCGGAGCAACUGACCUGCCCAUGCAUGGCCACUCUUGGCACUGCGUUCUCUGCACGGAUGCAGACCGGUCCUAUGUGCCCAGGGUUGCCGUAUGGCCAGCAGUUUGCUGUUUGACAUCCAGAAAUAGGUAGAUUACCCUUUGAAAAAGGUAAGAAAUAGAGAACCACAGAAAAAGGUAAUUUACUUUUCAUAGAGGUAGUGUUUUCCUGUCCAGCUUAGUUACCUGGCUACGCUCUUCUGACAAGCAGGCCUGGAGAGAGGUCCCAUUGGGGAAAGGCAGAGCAAGGCCUCCUUUCCAUCUUGAUAGUUGGUCUAUCAGUCUCUAUUCACCUCCACCACUGUCCUUUUUCCUCAGACAGUGCCAGCUUUCAGCCGCUCUCCUUGCAGCGUGAAUGGCCAGACAUCUCUAGCAGCUUUGGGUCUCUCUGGGCUCUCGUUCUGGUCUCAAGCAGCAAAUGAGGGUUCAGGCUCAUCUCUGAGGGUUCAGAUGUAUUUGGUUACUCUGUAGACCUUUCUCCAGUCUUCACGUCAGGCUAUCCAUCUUUAUAUCAGUCUUUCCCAGUCCCACUGACAGAAUUGUCCACCUUUGCUUCUCUGCUUUUAAAGCUGGCUCUAGCUCAUGCCCAUCACAAACCUUGGUAGGUCAUUCUGGAGUUAUCACCAACAGAGAAAUUUCAUCCUUUGCUUUGUUAGCCGGUUUCUGAAUGAUAUUAUCUAACCUUCUAUGCUGUUCCUGUCAGUUAAGUGGUUCCCUUCGGGGAAACGUUGCAUGUUUCCUUUUUAGUUUGGUCAGAACAGUUACCUGGAGACAUUGAAGGCAGCAUUUCAAACCACAUUUCAAAAUUCAAAAUCAAAUUUCAGAAAAUAAGGAUUCUUUUUAAUUCUGCAAAACUUUCAAAUACUUCUUUUCAAAGUGAAAGAUAGAGGCUCUGCUAGUAAAAGAGCUGAAAAGGGCAGUCACUUAGUACGUUUGUUACAACUGUCAUUCGUGCAGGCCCAGUCUCAUUCCAGGGUGGAGAGAUGGUAAAUAAGCCUCAAAAGAGGAUAUGGGUGAUUGUACUGAGUCAUCAGAGACCAGGAGGUUGCAGCAGUGCUCUGUAUGGAUGUCACAGUAAGUUGCGAUUGCUGGUAGAGAACAUUUGCUCUUCCCAAAAGAGAAGAGUAGUCCAGUCCUGAAGAAAAUUAGAGAAGUCUAAGUCUAGAUGUUCAAGAAGCGAAGCACGUAAUGAUUUUUCAAAGAUUUUAAAUUUUAUUAAUGUAUUAUGGAGCUAGGUUUUAUUGUUUAUGAGGACCUGAAUGACUGUCUUAUUUCAGACUCUGAAGAUGAAGAAGCUCUUGGACCCAGGCUCAUCCUGCCUAACUUCAGACCUCUUAGUGAAAGGCCUAAAUUAGAUUUUUGGUCUUGCUGAACUCCUAAAUUCAGUAAUUCAUUUAAAUUCCUGAAGUUAGGGGAGAUGAAUCUGUAACUGAACAUCUUUGGAAUGCGAUCAUAAAUAAACAUCACUCUCCGGUUUUGAGCCCA